UCCAAUUAAGGAAGUAUGAUGUUCAAGAAAAAGCUGCUAACUUUUAUCUUUUAAUGGUUAAAUUCCAUUUAUACUUCU
RNAcentral lists this transfer RNA (78 nucleotides) under Tomoplagia incompleta. Its description in RNAcentral is "tRNA-Ser". Lineage: Eukaryota; Metazoa; Arthropoda; Insecta; Diptera; Tephritidae. The record is from RNAcentral.